This 719-nucleotide ribosomal RNA is filed under the name Celeribacter halophilus. RNAcentral's name for it is "bacterial SSU rRNA". It matches the Rfam family "Bacterial small subunit ribosomal RNA", at positions 171 to 924 of the family's 1533-position model. Lineage: Bacteria; Pseudomonadati; Pseudomonadota; Alphaproteobacteria; Rhodobacterales; Roseobacteraceae. The record is from RNAcentral.
GUAUACGCCCUUCGGGGGAAAGAAUUUCGGUGAGGGAUCGGCCCGCGUUAGAUUAGUUAGUUGGUGGGGUAAUGGCCUACCAAGACUACGAUCUAUAGCUGGUUUGAGAGGAUGAUCAGCAACACUGGGACUGAGACACGGCCCAGACUCCUACGGGAGGCAGCAGUGGGGAAUCUUAGACAAUGGGGGCAACCCUGAUCUAGCGAUGCCGCGUGAGUGAUGAAGGCCUUAGGGUCGUAAAGCUCUUUCGCCUGUGAUGAUAAUGACAGUAGCAGGUAAAGAAACCCCGGCUAACUCCGUGCCAGCAGCCGCGGUAAUACGGAGGGGGUUAGCGUUGUUCGGAAUUACUGGGCGUAAAGCGCACGUAGGCGGAUUAGUCAGUCAGAGGUGAAAUCCCAGGGCUCAACCCUGGAACUGCCUUUGAUACUGCUAGUCUUGAGUUCGAGAGAGGUAAGUGGAAUUCCGAGUGUAGAGGUGAAAUUCGUAGAUAUUCGGAGGAACACCAGUGGCGAAGGCGGCUUACUGGCUCGAUACUGACGCUGAGGUGCGAAAGUGUGGGGAGCAAACAGGAUUAGAUACCCUGGUAGUCCACACCGUAAACGAUGAAUGCCAGUCGUCGGGUAGCAUGCUAUUCCGUGACACACCUAACGGAUUAAGCAUUCCGCCUGAGGAGUACGGUCGCAGGAUUAAAACUCCAAGGGAUUUGACGGAGGGCCCGC